This is a long non-coding RNA of Setaria italica (foxtail millet), 2745 nucleotides long. RefSeq lists it as uncharacterized. Lineage: Eukaryota; Viridiplantae; Streptophyta; Magnoliopsida; Poales; Poaceae. The transcript is spliced from 3 exons. The record is from RefSeq and is a predicted model, not a curated record.
UUCCUCCCUUUCCCUUCCCCUCUCUUCUUUCCUUCGCCCAACGUCUGCUCCAAGCGCCGCCGCCGCCGCCGCUCAAGCCUUCCGGCGCCACCGCCACUCUCCCGUCCUUCCUCCCCUGCUCGUUGUUCCGGAAACCCUCGCCGCCCUUGUGCCGCACCACGUGCCCGACCCCGAGCCGCCCCCUCCCUUUCCUCUAUCUCCCUCCCCGGACCUCGGCCGCCGCCACGGCUGCCCCCCGUCUUCCAUUCGUCCUCCCUCCCUCCUCCCGCUUUCCAUCUCCCCACUGUUCAACCCCUGCGAACGUCCUCGCUGCCUAUGAUUCCUCACGACCCAGCCCUGUCGAACCCUAGACGCCGGCAUACACGCAUUCCACCAGCAGUGGCCACUUGCGUCGGCCAGCCCCGGCAUCGACGAUCAUCCCGCGUGCCGACGCACCUCGCACCGCCACCGCCGCUGAUGUCCUCACUAUCUUCAGCAGGGGCCUCCCCAUCGACAUUAAUGAGUGGGAGCUGCACAACCUGCUGCUGGUUCCCGACCUCUUGGGAUUCGAGGCCUCUUCGCCUCCGUGCACCAGGCCAUCGCCGCCAAGGAUUUGGGUGUUCGAUGCUGAGAGCAAGCAGUACUGCAAACCAACAUGGCCUAGAAGACCAUCUUCGUUAAGAGAGGUGGGGUUCGUCUACCAAAAUUGUGCACACGUUAUCACAUAGUAGUUCUACAUUAUUUAAGGGAAGUUUGGACCUAACAGAUUAGUGUUGAAAUGUUGAGCUUCUAUUUGGUCCAAAAUUCUAUUGGUAGAUACUUGUGAUGUGGGUAAAUUGAGGCUGAUAAAUAAAGUUUGCAGGCUUUAGUGAACAUUGUUGGCCAUCAAUGGAUGAUGUGGUGGGUGUGAGAGUAAGUGUGGGCUAUAGUUUAGGCAUAAAACAAUUUGUGGAAGUUAAUACUUCUUCUUUAGUGACACAUCAAACUUGAUAGGAAACCCCGCUGUUGAGGUCACACAGGGUCUGUAUCCUGGAUCUACUACUUGAGGAAGGCUUUUUCAUUUUUUUUGUUAAAUAUACUGGUCUAACAAACUUUCCACGCCUUGAUAACUGUUGGAAUUUUAGUGUGGGCACUGAUGUUCCUGUUCUUUUGUUAAGCUUCUACGGAUAGAAAGGUUUGAACUAUACUUGACAACCUUGGCAUUGAAGUUUUUUUUCCUGCUACCUGUCAUAUGGCAGGCCUCAACUUCUCUUUUCAGACAUGGAAACAAACUGACAUUUGUCCCACGUACCAUGUUCAUAGGCAGGACUCUACUUGUCUAUGCAAUGGAUAAUCCAGAUGAAAGAUAAAUAGAUUGCCAUAAUUUCAGAGAAGUUGAGUUCUCAUCUUGUUUUAUUUAAUUCGGUAGAAAAGGAAGUUCCAGCAGUGAAACAAGUACUAGGUGAUGUGCAUUGUCUGGUUGGUGAGAAGGAAAGUGUAGAUACAAUUAUGAUCACACCUGGCACUUGCAUUCUCCCAUCAUCUGGCAACUUCAUUUUGAUUAUUACAUUUCCAUGCUUCUCUGAUGUGUAUUCUUUAUGCAUUAUUGUCCCUUUCACUGUUAUUUCAGUUUGUGACUUGAAGGAUAAGGUCCAAAGGGUUACUGUGAUUCAGGAAGAUUUUGUAGGUGUGUCAGCUUCUUGUAGUCUUGCAUGAUCAGUUUGUGAUUUUCAUAUGUAUUAGUGGAUCAUUUUCAUCUUCUAUUUUUCACUAACUCUCAUGGUUUAUUUAUGCAGAGAAACUUAAUUUCUUGGAAAGUAAAAUCAGUGCUUACCGGUUUGAACUCCGAAAUAUGGCAAGGAUCAUAUAUGAGUUGAAAGAUCGCCUUGAGGCUGAGAAACGUAACAACUGUUUUAUUCCCCAACUGGAUGAAAUAUCCGUUAACUAAGUUAAAAUAAAUUGCAUAUAUUUGAUCUCCAGUUUCUAUCAAAAUCAUGACAUUUGUUGUCUUGUGCCUUAAUGAUGUUACCUGAAGUCUGAAGAAAGCUUUGUUGUUGAAGGGUGAAAUUAUUGAGAGAUUAACUUCAGAAAAGCAAUGUAUGGGGCUUCACAGCAUCGAGGUUGCUUUACAGAAAUUUCAAGAUUUAUGAAGUAGCAAUGGGCAUGAGGUACGGUGCAGAUGUUAGAUUAAAAACUUGAUUACAAUUUUUGUUGUUCAUAUAUCAGUAUGUUUUUAUUUCUUCGAUGCACAUCAUGCCCAUAGCUAAUGUUGUUUGUUCUCAAUCUCCUGAUCGCACUCAAGGGAACUAUUUUGGAAGUCAGAGUGUACAUAGUGUGAAUAAUGAGCAACCUUAGUUUCAUUAAACAUUCAGCCCUCGUGGUAAUAAAUUUAAUUUUUUUUGUUAUGUAACAUUCAGUAUAUGCUACUUGGUGAGGCCAUUAGCAUUCCAGGCACACAAUCUGGUCUAGCCAACAGAUUCUGUGAAUCCAGAUCCUGACUCGGAGAACCAGUCCAGACCCUACAAUUUGGAUCCCUUCGCAGCAUGAGUUGGAUGCACAUUCUAGCAGCCAAUAGUCGUAGCACAUUUGUCCUGUACUCAUAGUUGAUCAUCCUUAUUUUUGUGAGCUGAUCAUCCCGUGUUUGUAUAGACCGUUUAGGUAGCCACUAAAGAGAUAUGCCAUGUAAUUUGAGAUGCUUUGUACACGUUUUGGAUUCUGUUAGCUUGCUGUGUUAAGUGUUAAUGAACAUCAAUCAUUUUAAUGAAAAUUUUACAUAAUUGGUCAGAA